RNAcentral lists this small RNA (330 nucleotides) under Arabidopsis thaliana (thale cress). RNAcentral's name for it is "ATSL102630". The record is from RNAcentral. Lineage: Eukaryota; Viridiplantae; Streptophyta; Magnoliopsida; Brassicales; Brassicaceae.
AAAAUAUUAAGACACAUUUAGAUCCGCCAAACCCGCCUAAAUCCGUCUAAUGACCGUCUAAUCCAUUUAAAAUCCGCAUAGUCCGCAAAAAUUUACUCGAGUGCCUAAUAAAACCGAUUUUAAGAAAGUGGAAACGGUACAAAGGCGCAUAUCGUCUAGGCGACGCCUAGACGGCCGCCUAGCACACUUUCUUAAAUACUGCCACAAACAUAUAAAAAGGGAUAGCAAUUUUUGUAAAAUAAAUAGAAAACGUAUGUUUAAAGUUAAUAGCUUGCAUAUUAUAAGAAAGAAUUGCCCUUGAUUAUUUUAAGACAAAUUUGUCAAAUGUUU